AGAGUUUGAUCCUGGCUCAGAACGAACGCUGGCGGCAGGCUUAACACAUGCAAGUCAAGCGCCCCGCAAGGGGAGCGGCAGACGGGUGAGUAACGCUGGGAACGUGCCCUUUGGUUCGGAACAACUCCGGGAAACUGGAGCUAAUACCGGAUAAGCCCUUCGGGGGAAAGAUUUAUCGCCAAAGGAUCGGCCCGCGUCUGAUUAGCUAGUUGGUGAGGUAAUGGCUCACCAAGGCGACGAUCAGUAGCUGGUCUGAGAGGAUGAUCAGCCACACUGGGACUGAGACACGGCCCAGACUCCUACGGGAGGCAGCAGUGGGGAAUAUUGGACAAUGGGCGCAAGCCUGAUCCAGCCAUGCCGCGUGAGUGAUGAAGGCCUUAGGGUUGUAAAGCUCUUUUGUCCGGGAAGAUAAUGACUGUACCGGAAGAAUAAGCCCCGGCUAACUUCGUG
Molecule: ribosomal RNA, 450 nt
Filed under: uncultured bacterium
Lineage: Bacteria
Description: bacterial SSU rRNA
Rfam family: Bacterial small subunit ribosomal RNA
Source: RNAcentral